AGUGAUGCAGCCGAAAAGACGUCAUGAAUCAAUGAGUCAGCUGGACAAAGGCACGUCGAGAGCUAGGAGUCAGGGAGACAUGUAGACAUUUGGCAAAUCUAAUGAGCUCUAAUAACAGAUAUAUUUAGCACUGCUGCAUGAUGUGAAGGUUGAGUCCCAUAGUCAGGUUAACCCUUUCACAAUGACAGGCAUGUUGCUAGUCUUCCUAAAUACUGUAUGACAUGAGAGGUAGAAAAAGUACCAUCUUCUCUUGGGAAGAUAUUCAUGCAAGUUGGUGGAUAAAAGAGACACUUUUCUAUUCCUCUGUUGUGUUCAUGGGAUUGCCAUCCACAUGAAAAACUCCUCAGUAGAAGACUAUCGAAACAGGUUCAGAGAAAAAAAUUAUUUGUUCUAAGAAUGACAAUGUCUUUAUGCCUCUUAAUAAGGCAGAUGGGAGGGGCUUUCUACUAUGAUAUUGAAAGACAAAUUGAGAUCUGAUAUUGCAGGUUUUAUAGUCUGGGAUCAGUAACAGUGCCACACAAAGGUGUAGAAGGGCAGAACAGAAUUGUCAAAAUCAGUCUUUAUUGUUUCCACAAACGUCCAAGCAGAACAUUGUCUAGAGCAAUUCUGUCUGGGAAAGUCUUGCACAAGAGACAGGAAAGUAAGCUACAGUGAGCCAUGAAGCAGUCAAGAGUUUUGGAAUUAGAACUAUUUGAAGUACGUCACAGAGAGGUGGAAAAUUAGAUUCCAAUAUUACAACUGCUUUAAGAGAAUUUUUUCAUCUUCCACAGUGAGGAAACCUGCUCAACUAGGUUUUCUGGAAAGACAGCAUACCCUGAAACUUCAGCACACAGAAAGAUGGAGGGAUGAAUACAGGAGUACUCAACCAGUCUCUUUUCAUCAUUGUCUGAUAAUACAAACAGUAAAGCUGGGCAGAUUUGUGAAGGGGGAAACAGAAACCUUACUGUUAGUAUUGAAAGUGCCGUGCUUUGGAAAGAACUGAAAAUAGAAGUCACAGUUAUCUGUCCUUAAACCUUGCCCUGAUGAUCUAUAUAUUUUAAUAAAAAUCCGAGAACUCAAAAAUGCA
Molecule: long non-coding RNA, 1066 nt
Filed under: Anas platyrhynchos platyrhynchos (common mallard)
Lineage: Eukaryota; Metazoa; Chordata; Aves; Anseriformes; Anatidae
Description: lncRNA (ENSAPLG00000024968.1)
Source: RNAcentral